AGAGUUUGAUCCUGGCUCAGAUUGAACGCUGGCGGCAUGCCUUACACAUGCAAGUCGAACGGCAGCACGGGAGCAAUCCUGGUGGCGAGUGGCGAACGGGUGAGUAAUAUAUCGGAACGUGCCCAGUCGUGGGGGAUAACGUAGAGAAAUUUACGCUAAUACCGCAUACGAUCUAAGGAUGAAAGCGGGGGACCUUCGGGCCUCGCGCGAUUGGAGCGGCUGAUAUCAGAUUAGGUUGUUGGUGAGGUAAAAGCUCACCAAGCCGACGAUCUGUAGCUGGUUUGAGAGAACGACCAGCCACACUGGGACUGAGACACGGCCCAGACUCCUACGGGAGGCAGCAGUGGGGAAUUUUGGACAAUGGGCGAAAGCCUGAUCCAGCAAUGCCGCGUGCAGGAAGAAGGCCUUCGGGUUGUAAACUGCUUUUGUACGGAACGAAAAGGUCUGCCCUAAUACGGCGGGCCCAUGACGGUACCGUAAGAAUAAGCACCGGCUAACUACGUGCCAGCAGCCGCGGUAAUACGUAGGGUGCGAGCGUUAAUCGGAAUUACUGGGCGUAAAGCGUGCGCAGGCGGU
This 576-nucleotide ribosomal RNA is filed under the name uncultured beta proteobacterium. Its description in RNAcentral is "bacterial SSU rRNA". It matches the Rfam family "Bacterial small subunit ribosomal RNA", at positions 8 to 579 of the family's 1533-position model. Lineage: Bacteria; Pseudomonadati; Pseudomonadota; Betaproteobacteria. The record is from RNAcentral.